RNAcentral lists this ribosomal RNA (219 nucleotides) under uncultured bacterium. RNAcentral's name for it is "partial 16S ribosomal RNA". It matches the Rfam family "Bacterial small subunit ribosomal RNA", at positions 118 to 351 of the family's 1533-position model. The record is from RNAcentral.
UGGGAACGUGCCCAAAGGUAACGGAACAAACUACCGGGAAACUGGAGCUAAUACCGUAUGUGCCCGAAAGGGGAAAGAUUCAUCGCCUUUGGAUCGGCCCGCGUCUGAUUAGCUAGUUGGCGGGGUAAUGGCCCACCAAGGCGACGAUCAGUAGCUGGUCUGAGAGGAUGACCAGCCACACUGGGACUGAGACACGGCCCAGACUCCUACGGGAGGCAG